CCUACGGGUGGCUGCAGUGAGGAAUAUUGGUCAAUGGCCGGAAGGCUGAACCAGCCAAGCCGCGUGAAGGACGAAGGUGCCAAGCAUUUUAACCUUCUUUUGUCAAGGGACAAAAUCAGGCUCGAGCGCCUGACCGAUGGUACUUGAAGAAAAAGCAUCGGCUACCUCCGUGCCAGCAGCCGCGUUAAUCCGGAGGAUGCGAGCGUUAUCCGGAUUUAUUGGGUUUAAAGGGUGCGUAGGCGGACUGUUAAUUCAGCGGUAAAAGCCCGGGGCUCAACCCCGGCGAGCCGUUGAAACUGGCUGUCUUGAGAUGUCGAGAGGUAUGCGGAAUGCGCGGUGUAGCGGUGAAAUACUUAGAUAGUGCGCAGAACUCCGAGUGCGAAGGCAGCAUACCGGCGGCGAUCUGACGCUGAGGCACGAAAGCGUGGGUAUCGAACAGGAUUAGAUACCCUUGUAGUC
Molecule: ribosomal RNA, 459 nt
Filed under: uncultured bacterium
Lineage: Bacteria
Description: partial 16S ribosomal RNA
Rfam family: Bacterial small subunit ribosomal RNA
Source: RNAcentral